Molecule: ribosomal RNA, 37 nt
Filed under: Juglans nigra (black walnut)
Lineage: Eukaryota; Viridiplantae; Streptophyta; Magnoliopsida; Fagales; Juglandaceae
Description: partial 26S ribosomal RNA
Source: RNAcentral
CGCGACCCCAGGUCAGGCGGGAUUACCCGCUGAAUUU